CAGUCUUAGAUCAGCAAUGACCAUCAACUUUGAUGAGCUAUCCUUGAACCUCCAUACUCAUGUCAUUACUUACACGCAGUAGACAGGUCACAGUGUUGACUUUCAAAAGUCAGCCACUAUAACACACCAGACAGGUCACAGUGUUGACUUCCUACAGUCAGCCACUAUAACACAGUAGACAGGUCACAGUGUUGACUUUCUACAGUCAGCCACUAUAACACAGUAGACAGGUCACAGUGUUGACUUUCUACAGUCAGCCACUAUAACACAGUAGACAGGUCACAGUGUUGACUUCCUACAGUCAGCCACUAUAACACAGUAGACAGGUCACAGUGUUGACUUUCUACAGUCAGCCACUAUAACACAGUAGACAGGUCACAGUGUUGACGUUCUACAGUCAGCCACUAUAACACAGUAGACAGGUCACAGUGUUGACUUUCUAAAGUCAGCCACUAUAACACAGUAGACAGGUCACAGUGUUGACUUCCUACAGUCAGCCACUAUAACACAGUAGACAGGUCACAGUGUUGACUUCCUAAAGUCAGCCACUAUAACACAGUAGACAGGUCACAGUGUUGACUUUCUAAAGUCAGCCACUAUAACACAGUAGACAGGUCACAGUGUUGACUUUCUAAAGUCAGCCACUAUAACACAGUAGACAGGUCACAGUGUUGACUUUCUAAAGUCAGCCACUAUAACACAGUAGACAGGUCACAGUGUUGACUUCCUACAGUCAGCCACUAUAACACAGUAGACAGGUCACAGUGUUGACUUCCUAAAGUCAGCCACUAUAACACACCAGACAGGUCACAGUGUUGACUUCCUACAGUCAGCCACUAUAACACAGUAGACAGGUCACAGUGUUGACUUUCUACAGUCAGCCACUAUAACACAGUAGACAGGUCACAGUGUUGACUUUCUAAAGUCAGCCACUAUAACACAGUAGACAGGUCACAGUGUUGACUUCCUACAGUCAGCCACUAUAACACAGUAGACAGGUCACAGUGUUGACUUCCUAAAGUCAGCCACUAUAACACACCAGACAGGUCACAGUGUUGACUUCCUACAGUCAGCCACUAUAACACAGUAGACAGGUCACAGUGUUGACUUUCUACAGUCAGCCACUAUAACACAGUAGACAGGUCACAGUGUUGACUUCCUACAGUCAGCCACUAUAACACAGUAGACAGGUCACAGUGUUGACUUUCUACAGUCAUACACUAUAACACAGUAGACAGGUCACAGUGUUGACUUCCUACAGUCAGCCACUAUAACACAGUAGACAGGUCACAGUGUUGACUUCCUACAGUCAGCCACUAUAACACAGUAGACAGGUCACAGUGUUGACUUCCUACAGUCAGCCACUAUAACACAGUAGACAGGUCACAGUGUUGACUUUCUACAGUCAGCCACUAUAACACAGUAGACAGGUCACAGUGUUGACUUCCUACAGUCAGCCACUAUAACACAGUAGACAGGUCACAGUGUUGACUUUCAACAGUCAGCCACUAUAACACAGUAGACAGGUCACAGUGUUGACUUCCUACAGUCAGCCACUAUAACACAGUAGACAGGUCACAGUGUUGACUUCCUAAAGUCAGCCACUAUAACACACCAGACAGGUCACAGUGUUGACUUCCUACAGUCAGCCACUAUAACACAGUAGACAGGUCACAGUGUUGACUUUCUACAGUCAGCCACUAUAACACAGUAGACAGGUCACAGUGUUGACUUCCUACAGUCAGCCACUAUAACACAGUAGACAGGUCACAGUGUUGACUUUCUACAGUCAUCCACUAUAACACAGUAGACAGGUCACAGUGUUGACUUUCUACAGUCAGCCACUAUAACACAGUAGACAGGUCACAGUGUUGACUUUCUACAGUCAGCCACUAUAACACAGUAGACAGGUCACAGUGUUGACUUUCUACAGUCAUCCACUAUAACACAGUAGACAGGUCACAGUGUUGACUUUCAACAGUCAGCCACUAUAACACAGUAGACAGGUCACAGUGUUGACUUCCUACAGUCAGCCACUAUAACACAGUAGACAGGUCACAGUGUUGACUUCCUACAGUCAGCCACUAUAACACAGUAGACAGUUCACAGUGUUGACGUUCUACAGUCAGCCACUAUAACACAGUAGACAGGUCACAGUGUUGACUUCCUACAGUCAGCCACUAUAACACAGUAGACAGGUCACAGUGUUGACUUCCUACAGUCAGCCACUAUAACACAGUAGACAGGUCACAGUGUUGACUUUCUACAGUCAGCCACUAUAACACAGUAGACAGGUCACAGUGUUGACUUUCUACAGUCAGCCACUAUAACACAGU
This is a long non-coding RNA of Oncorhynchus keta (chum salmon), 2336 nucleotides long. RefSeq lists it as uncharacterized. The record is from RefSeq and is a predicted model, not a curated record. NCBI's taxonomy places the organism in Eukaryota, Metazoa, Chordata, Actinopteri, Salmoniformes, Salmonidae. The transcript is spliced from 3 exons.